UACGUAGGGAGCGAGCGUUGUCCGGAUUUAUUGGGCGUAAAGCGAGCGUAGGCGGUUUGGUAAGUCGGGUGUGAAAACUCCAAGCUUAACUUGGAGCGGCCAUUCGAAACUGUCAUGACUUGAGUUCGGUAGGGGAACACGGAAUUCCAGGUGUAGCGGUGAAAUGCUUAGAUAUCUGGAGGAACACCAGUGGCGAAGGCGGUGUUCUGGGCCGAUACUGACGCUAAAGCUCGAAAGCGUGGGGAGCGAACAGG
RNAcentral lists this ribosomal RNA (254 nucleotides) under uncultured bacterium. RNAcentral describes it as "partial 16S ribosomal RNA". It matches the Rfam family "Bacterial small subunit ribosomal RNA", at positions 524 to 776 of the family's 1533-position model. The record is from RNAcentral.